RNAcentral lists this ribosomal RNA (486 nucleotides) under uncultured bacterium. RNAcentral describes it as "bacterial SSU rRNA". It matches the Rfam family "Bacterial small subunit ribosomal RNA", at positions 28 to 521 of the family's 1533-position model. The record is from RNAcentral.
GAUGAACGCUAGCUACAGGCUUAACACAUGCAAGUCGAGGGGAAACGAUAGAGAAAGCUUGCUUUUUCUAGGCGUCGACCGGCGCACGGGUGAGUAACGCGUAUCCAACCUGCCCACCACUUGGGGAUAACCUUGCGAAAGUAAGACUAAUACCCAAUGACGUCUCUAGAAGACAUCUGAAAGAGAUUAAAGAUUUAUCGGUGAUGGAUGGGGAUGCGUCUGAUUAGCUUGUUGGCGGGGUAACGGCCCACCAAGGCGACGAUCAGUAGCCGGCCUGAGAGGGUGAACGGCCACAUUGGGACUGAGACACGGCCCAAACUCCUACGGGAGGCAGCAGUGGGGAAUAUUGCACAAUGGGGGAAACCCUGAUGCAGCGACGCCGCGUGAGUGAUGAAGUAUUUCGGUAUGUAAAACUCUAUCAGCAGGGAAGAUAAUGACGGUACCUGACUAAGAAGCACCGGCUAAAUACGUGCCAGCAGCCGCGGU